Molecule: long non-coding RNA, 288 nt
Filed under: Panax ginseng (ginseng)
Lineage: Eukaryota; Viridiplantae; Streptophyta; Magnoliopsida; Apiales; Araliaceae
Description: long non-coding RNA (PGIN_LNC004020)
Source: RNAcentral
UUCCAAGUGAUCAAUUGACUUCUAUUUAACCCAGAUUAACCUUGCUAUAUUCCUAUGCAAAACAAUUGGAUUAAACUCUUUCCAGUCCCAAUUCCUUAUAUGUUACAUGCGGUGAACAGAUAUUUUCAUUCAAUUCACAAACCUAAUUAUUUACCGUGUAAAUAAUUGAGUCACAUGUCAUCAUGUCUAGUUCUAACCCUAGAAUUCCUCUCCCAAUUCCUUCUAGAGUAACACACUAAUUAUUGGCCAAAUAAUUAAUCAUUAAAAUCAAAACAUGAUAAACAAUCC